Molecule: ribosomal RNA, 215 nt
Filed under: Cephalotes pallens
Lineage: Eukaryota; Metazoa; Arthropoda; Insecta; Hymenoptera; Formicidae
Description: partial large subunit ribosomal RNA
Source: RNAcentral
GAAUUUUAUAUAAAUUUUUAUUUAAAAAUUUAAUAUAUUUAUAAGAAUUUAUAUUUAAUUGGGAGGAUUAUUAAAUUUUAAAAACUUUAAUUAUUUAAAUUACUGAUGAGUAGAUUGAGAUGAUAAUGAAUGAUUGUUUAAUUAAAGUAGAAUUAAUUACCUCAGGGAUAACAGCGUAAUAUUUUUUGAGAGUUCAUAUUGAAAAAAAUGUUUGC